AACAGCAAAUCUGUAACGACACCGUUACAACGCGUAACCAUAAAUAAUAUUACAUCUGUAUUGCGGAGAACGCGGAACGGCGUGGUUUUAGCGGUUUAUACCGUACGUGACGGGGUGGGAGGGGCGCGCGCUCGUUAUUAUCGUUAUGACGUCAGCGCGUACGUAGUGCAGACGAUAACAUCGAUGUACGUGUCGUUUCCGAUAAACGUAUUAACGGGGAUGACGGGGACGUGAAUUAUACCGCGGUCGUCGUGGUCGUGGUCGUCGUCGCGGUCGUCACGAACCGGGAAGAAUAACCGACCCGCGUACAGGUGGCCGAUCGCCGCGAUUAACAAUGUAAUACGAAAUCGUCGCGUGCGAGAGUUUUACGCGCCCGGCCGUUA
Molecule: non-coding RNA, 383 nt
Organism: Cinara cedri
Lineage: Eukaryota; Metazoa; Arthropoda; Insecta; Hemiptera; Aphididae
Source: the annotation of a GenBank genome assembly